AUUGAACGCUGGCGGCAGGCUUAACACAUGCAAGUCGAGCGGGGGAAGGUAGCUUGCUACCGGACCUAGCGGCGGACGGGUGAGUAAUGCUUAGGAAUCUGCCUAUUAGUGGGGGACAACAUCUCGAACGGGAUGCUAAUACCGCAUACGUCCUACGGGAGAAAGCAGGGGAUCUUCGGACCUUGCGCUGAUAGAUGAGCCUAAGUGGGAUUAGCGAGUUGGUGGGGUAAAGGCCUACCAAGGCGACGAUCUGUAGCGGGUCUGAGAGGAUGAUCCGCCACACUGGGACUGAGACACGGCCCAGACUCCUACGGGAGGCAGCAGUGGGGAAUAUUGGACAAUGGGGGGAACCCUUAUCCAGCCAUGCCGCGUGUGUGAAGAAGGCCUUAUGGUUGUAAAGCACUUUAAGCGAGGAGGAGGCUACUUUAGUUAAUACCUAGAGAUAGUGGACGUUACUCGCAGAAUAAGCACCGGCUAACUCUGUGCCAGCCGCCGCAGUAA
This 501-nucleotide ribosomal RNA is filed under the name uncultured bacterium. RNAcentral describes it as "partial 16S ribosomal RNA". It matches the Rfam family "Bacterial small subunit ribosomal RNA", at positions 30 to 523 of the family's 1533-position model. The record is from RNAcentral.